RNAcentral lists this ribosomal RNA (505 nucleotides) under uncultured bacterium. RNAcentral describes it as "partial 16S ribosomal RNA". It matches the Rfam family "Bacterial small subunit ribosomal RNA", at positions 28 to 507 of the family's 1533-position model. The record is from RNAcentral.
GACGAACGCUGGCGGCGUGCCUAAUACAUGCAAGUAGAACGCACAGUUUAUACCGUAGCUUGCUACACCAUAGACUGUGAGUUGCGAACGGGUGAGUAACGCGUAGGUAACCUGCCUGGUAGCGGGGGAUAACUAUUGGAAACGAUAGCUAAUACCGCAUAAUAUUAAUUAUUGCAUGAUAAUUAAUUGAAAGGUGCAAUUGCACCACUACCAGAUGGACCUGCGUUGUAUUAGCUAGUAGGUGAGGUAACGGCUCACCUAGGCGACGAUACAUAGCCGACCUGAGAGGGGGAUCGGCCACACUGGGACUGAGACACGGCCCAGACUCCUACGGGGGGCAGCAGUAGGGAAUCUUCGGCAAUGGACGAAAGUCUGACCGAGCAACGCCGCGUGAGUGAAGAAGGUUUUCGGAUCGUAAAGCUCUGUUGUAAGAGAAGAACGGGUGUGAGAGUGGAAAGUUCACACUGUGACGGUAUCUUACCAGAAAGGGACGGCUAACUACGUG